UUCGUCUGCAGUUUAUGAGGAUGAGCACCUCCGCAGGAGGUUCGAGCCUCGCGAAGCGAGACAACGUUGCUUUAGCAACGGCCCGCAGGGCGCGCAUCAACGAUGCGCGUGAAUCCUCUCUCGCCGACCA
Molecule: small RNA, 130 nt
Filed under: Serratia marcescens
Lineage: Bacteria; Pseudomonadati; Pseudomonadota; Gammaproteobacteria; Enterobacterales; Yersiniaceae
Description: RtT sRNA
Rfam family: RtT RNA
About the family: This family represents a bacterial cis-regulatory element known as RtT RNA.
Source: RNAcentral